AUAAACAAUAGUUUACAGUUUAUAUUCCAUUUAUUUGUUUUCUCUUGAUUGGUUUGUGGCUUAUUAUUGCAACAGCUUGUGCCUUCGGGAACGCGGACACAGGUGGUGCAUGACCGUCGUCAGCUCGUGCCGUAAGGUGUUGGGUUAAGUCCCACAACGAGCGUAACCCUCGUGUUUAGUUGCCACCGUUGAGUUUGGAACCCUGAGCAGACUGCCGGUGAUAAGCCGGAGGAAGGUGAGGAUGACGUCAAGUCAUCAUGUCCCUUAUGCCCUGGGCGACACACGUGCUACAAUGGCCGGGAUAAAGGGUCGCGAUCCCGCGAGGGUGAGCUAACUCCAAAAACCCGUCCUCAGUUCGGAUUGUAGGCUGGAACUCGCCUACAUGAAGCCGGAAUCGCUAGUAAUUGCCGGUCAGCCAUACGGCGGUGAAUUCGUUCC
This 438-nucleotide non-coding RNA is filed under the name Morus notabilis. RNAcentral describes it as "Bacterial small subunit ribosomal RNA". It matches the Rfam family "Bacterial small subunit ribosomal RNA", at positions 991 to 1374 of the family's 1533-position model. The record is from Rfam by way of RNAcentral. Lineage: Eukaryota; Viridiplantae; Streptophyta; Magnoliopsida; Rosales; Moraceae.